Molecule: ribosomal RNA, 301 nt
Filed under: uncultured bacterium
Lineage: Bacteria
Description: partial 16S ribosomal RNA
Rfam family: Bacterial small subunit ribosomal RNA
Source: RNAcentral
CAGUCGCCAGGUAAUACGAAGGGUGCAAGCGUUACUCGGAAUUACUGGGCGUAAAGCGUGCGUAGGUGGUGGUUUAAGUCCGUUGUGAAAGCCCUGGGCUCAACCUGGGAAUUGCAGUGGAUACUGGGUCACUAGAGUGUGGUAGAGGAUGGUGGAAUUCCCGGUGUAGCGGUGAAAUGCGUAGAGAUCGGGAGGAACAUCAGUGGCGAAGGCGGCCAUCUGGGACAACACUGACGCUGAGGCACGAAAGCGUGGGGAGCAAACAGGAUUAGAUACCCCGGUAGUCCCUGUCUCUUAUACA